This is a long non-coding RNA of Pleuronectes platessa (European plaice), 790 nucleotides long. RefSeq lists it as uncharacterized. Lineage: Eukaryota; Metazoa; Chordata; Actinopteri; Pleuronectiformes; Pleuronectidae. The transcript is spliced from 2 exons. The record is from RefSeq and is a predicted model, not a curated record.
UAACCUGACAGGACGGCAACUCCUAUAGGCUGCAGGGAGGCGGAGGAGUUUAUUUAGGGACACCUUAGCACUCUCCCUCGUCCUCUCUCUCUCUCUCCCCACUGCCGGUCCUGUGGGUGUGUGCGGAAGUUUAGCGUGAGCGCAGCACGUGUGGUCGCAAUUGUUUGUCGCAGUAAGUUGCUGGAAGUUAUAUAAUGUUAACGGCGAUCACAGAGAAAGUGUCCGCAAAUUGUAACUGAAGUUUGUCCUUAGAGCCCAGCGUGAAGCUGUGUCUGUGUGCGACUGUGUCGGCGUCACCGUGGAUGCACGCUGUCCCUGCUUUAUUUUAAUGAAUUAAAGGGCUGCCUCCAGCUAAAUAGUUACGGUCACUGUUUUUUCCCACUUUAGAUUUCAUUUAGAUUAUUUGGUUUGAUUAUUUGUUUCUUUGUGUUUUGUUUUGUUCUAUUGCAAGGUGCAAUAUAUAUGGUUGACUGGGACUGUGCAAUUCAGUGGUAGUGACUUGAAUGGUGGUGAAUUAUUGGCUCCAUAAAGUAGAGGCCCUCUUUUGUCAUUUUGUUGUUGUAUAUCGUUUGCAGUGAUUUUCUUAAAGUGUGUUGUGUUUGGUUUUUAAUGCAUGAUAUUUUAGCAUUGUACAAUUGGGUCUGGAGCCUCUAAUUUCUCUCUAUUUUAAGCUGUCAUUUAUAUCAAGUCCAGGCCAGCCUUUCCAACCUUUGCACAUGUCACUUUACUGUUUGAGCAGUCUGUUUUAAAUCAUUUGCAUCUAUUAAAUAAAUUGUAUUUUGUAUUGAUA